UACAGAGGGGGCAAGCGUUGUUCGGAAUUACUGGGCGUAAAGGGCGCGUAGGCGGCCAACUAAGUCAGACGUGAAAUCCCCCGGCUCAACCGGGGAACUGCGUCUGAUACUGGAUGGCUUGAGUUCGGGAGAGGGAAGUGGAAUUCCAGGUGUAGCGGUGAAAUGCGCAGAUAUCAGGAGGAACACCGGUGGCGAAGGCGGGUCUCUGGGCCGAUACUGACGCUGAGGAGCGAAAGCGUGGGGAGCGAACAGG
This 253-nucleotide ribosomal RNA is filed under the name uncultured bacterium. Its description in RNAcentral is "partial 16S ribosomal RNA". It matches the Rfam family "Bacterial small subunit ribosomal RNA", at positions 524 to 776 of the family's 1533-position model. The record is from RNAcentral.